Molecule: long non-coding RNA, 7909 nt
Organism: Taeniopygia guttata (zebra finch)
Lineage: Eukaryota; Metazoa; Chordata; Aves; Passeriformes; Estrildidae
Source: Ensembl
UUUACUAGCUCUUUAUUAGCUUUUUCUAAACGCUGCAUAUACAAUAUUAAGUCUUACACCUUUGAAAUACAUUUUUAAAAAAGCUAUGCCAAGACAACCCUUGUUGUAUCUAUGUAUCAGUACAAAAAUGCCUCAUAACAUUCUUCCAAAAUAUGUUUGGCUUACUGUCCAUCUGCCUUAAAUACACUGAGGUUAAGAAAGAAUGAUCAUGAUCAAGAUAGAUAAACCAGGCCUAAACAUCAGCAUAUUUCAUAAUGAAAUCUAUAAGUUUAUGGAACUUCAAUAGGCUCUAAAGUAAAGGGACCAAACAAGAGGUUAACUGAGAAAAAGCUACACAGCUUCUAACUGCAAAGCACCUGAAAUCCCAAACAUUCAUAGCUUGAAUAACUUGAUUCUAGAAUUUGGAUGAACACUUGAGAGAUAAGGCCUCUUAUUAGAGAUAAUGUCUGUUCCUAGAUCAAUAGAUUCCAUGGAGAAGAGAGUUGAAUUUUGGGGAUCACAAGUCCUCCUUCUAUGAUCAAACAUUUUCUCCAAGGAAUGUAUUUCAGUGAGAAAAGGUUUGCAUUCAGAAUUGUGCUCAUUAUUAGCCUGCAUAAGUCUUUCAGAUCUUUGAUGUUUUUAAGAAGGCCUUUCCUUUCAUUUUAUUAAAAAAUAAACCAUAACAUACAAAAACAGAACCAUUGUAAUAGGCAGCAGAUAAAACCGAUUACUUUGGCCAGUACAUAACUCCUACACACAGAGCAGCAGAUGAAAUCUUGAUCUCCCAAAUGCAAUAAACCUUAUUAACACCUGGGAAACAGGAAGUUACCUUCCUUGUUACCAACCUGCAGCUGUGAUACGAAAUUACAAAUAACCUCUUAAGCACAGAUCCAGUCACCUGGGUCAGUGUUUUACAACAUAGCAGCAGGCAGCUGAAGUAAAACUCUGCUGGGCUUAACACUGCAAACCCAAGCACCAUUAUUGCAAUGGUUUAAUUACGGUUUAAAUACAGUUCAGGACUAGGUCAAAAGUUCCCAAUAUCCCCAGGAGGGCAAAGCAGUGGCCUCAUGACAGAAGAAGCCCCUUCCCGCUUGAUGAUUCUAAAAUUGUUGUGUUACCAAUUGGAAAAUGUCUCAUUGGUACUUUAAAUACUGUAGAUAUCAACAAUUAAAUAUUAUAUCACUAUUUUGAUAAAUAUUAUUUUAUGAUCUAUACACAAACUGCAUGCAUACAUAUGAAGGAAAAUACUUGGUUGGAAGGAUUUGUACUUCCUCUGUAGUGCACUGAGGCAGGGACAGUGCUUCUUGCUGGUGAUGGAAAGUGAUCAUUGACAUCAGACAAAGCAUAAGACAAUUGGCAUGGAAGUUGGAGAGCCUCAGAAUCAUUUGACAAAAAUAAUAAACACUUUGCAUAUUUCACAGAUGCAGGUAUACCUAAGUGACAACUUAUUUUAGGAUAUACUUUAUACUUAAUUAUUUCUAUGAGUACACUGGGAUAUUUUGUCAUAAGCCCACUGAGCCCACUCUAUUUGUGAAGAAGCAGUAUUCUGAAAAGUGAACCCCACUGCUAAUGUUUUUAUUUGAAUAAAUUAUUACCCAACACAGCAACCAUCAACAUUUUACAGAACGAGAACACAGAUUUCUGUAAUUUUUUCGGCCCUAAUGCCAGUCACUAUUGGGAGCAUUUAGUUAUAAAUUGUCUUUCAAUAAAAGUAAAAGCUCCCAAAACAACAAAAUGAAAAGACACAGCAGCUUAAAUCAAGGAAGUCAAUUUCCACAUGCCGAUCCUAAAUAUUUCAUAGCCCUAUUUUAUUCUGACAUUUGUAGAUGACUAAAGUGUUACAAAGGAAAUAAAAUGCUGAUUAAAGAGUUCACUGUCAUAAAGGUUACUGAAUUGUAAAUGGCCCUUUCCAUCUUCCUGUUAAUAGGUACCCAGCUGUAAACAUCAUGAAGGAUGUGACGGGAGGCCUGUGCUGCUCCUUUAGGAGUCGUAUAUACAUUAAUCACUGAAUCACCAAGCCAUGCUUAAUUGCAAGUUGUAUAUCACACAAAUCCAUGGUAAGUAGAAGGAAACUCAUUAUUGCUGCUUCAUAACUACUGGGUACUUCUCAUUUUAACCUUCUCACACCUGGGACACUGUUGUUUUACAAUGUGAAUGCAGAAAAGGCAUUAAGUCACUAAUUAUAGUAACACUGUAUGUUGCCCUGCUGCUUGAACAUUUUUCAAAAUAAAACAAAGUACUAUCAACAACAGAGAAAAAUGGCAUAUUUUUAAACUAGUUAAAUGAAUUCUACAGGUUUUUUCAUAAAUUAUAACACAUGGAAAUCCAUUAUUCCUUGAUAGCUUGAGGAACUGGUUAAAUGACAAAGAAAAAAACCCAACACUGUAUUUUGUUUUGACAAAAUUAUUGAUUUAAAUCCCAUCCAAUAGGACAAUACUAUUUAAAGGUCACCUAAAGAAAAAUGGGUUUACACUCCAACAGAGCAAGCUUAUCUGCCAUGAAAGUGUAAUGAUGUUUAUACUCUCACUAGUGUAUAUAUAUUUUUCAGAAAGAUAAGAGAUUUUGUGCAGCAGAAGUCUGACAAAAAAAAAAAGAAAAGGGAAAAAAAUUGAGAUAUUUGUGUAGUUGCUAAACCACCAGAAUUCAUUUCAAUAAUCAUUUCAAUAGGUUCCCUCCUCCAUGUGUUUUUACAAACUACUGAGCACCAUAGCAGUGGUAAUUCUUUUAUGCCAUUCAUCACAUGUUUUAUCAGAACUCUUUGAGGACUUGCAAGGUUUACUGCACAGCUUAUGUAUCUAGACACUAACAAGUGUCUUAAUAGAUAUAAAAAAUGCUUCAAUUUGAACACCCUGUGUUUUAAUGCAAACUGGUUUGAAAUUUUGUUUCACAGUGAAACACCAUAUGCCCUGGCAUACUGCUCAGCUAAAAGUAUGUUUAUUAAUGAAAAUCAUUCAAAAUUACUCCAUUGCAAAGAUAAAUUCUAUGAAACAGCUAUCUGUUCCUAAUGCCAUACUACUUUCUUAUGUUCCAUUUUCAAUUCCAAGAGUAAAUGGAAUCAGUGUUUUCUCACACCCAGGAUAUGUUAACACAUUCUUCAAAUCAGCUCUGCUCUAGGAUAUCCAUUAUCUGCAGCCCCAGCCCUCUUGCCACUGCUCUCCUCUCUGCAAGAGGCCUAACAGACUCUUCCAUUAUAUCCUCACUCUGCUCAUAUGAUCCCUUUUCAAAUUUAUUUGAAGGACCUGAAAACUAAUUACACCUUUUCCUUCUUCUUAAAAAAGAAUAUGCUCAAAGAACUGUGGUUAUGGCUUUUGAAUCCCUCUGCUCAUCCACACCAGCUGGUGUUGAUGGGCUUCAUGUUCCUCAUGGAUUUAUCUGUCAAGAAUACACUGCAAAGUCACAUGCACAAGAGCCACCCACCUUUAAACUACCUGAGCAUUUUGCUUCAUCAACGCCCCCCCAAAAAAGCAACCUUUCAAAGUAGAAAUUUUUUAUCUUAUUUAGCAAUUCCAUAUUCACAGAUUGAGUAUUCUCAGCUUUCCUGCUGUCUUCAGUUGUUGACGUGAAAAAAAAAAAACAACAGGAAAUCGCACCACAACAUUGGAAAGAGACACAAUAUUUUUGAUGAAAAAUGCAGCAAAAUGUUUUAACAUGUGCCAAUAGAAACUGUAUCUUGGGAAGUAACAUUUAUUCUUAGAUUAUGGAUGCCUAUGUUAGGAUGGUCCUUUAAAACAAACUUAACUACAAGCAUUUUGAAAAAAUAAUCAAAGAAAAAAAAAAAGCUUUUCUGCAUUCUUUCAGAUGGUCAGAAUCCCAGCUGUCUUUACUUUUGGAAAUUGUACACUCAACAAUGCUCAGUCCUUGAUCAUGACAAGCAGAGCCUCACAUGUUCCUAUGUCCAGUAUAUACAUCCUUUAGCAAGGGGAAACAUUUCAUCUGGUAAAACGACAAAAGAUGCUCUGGAGAAAGAAAAGCCUCAACACACAGAUUGAGUUCUCAAAACACUCUUUCGGCAAUGCUCAAUACAGGGCAUACAACUAAUGGUUAGAACACAAAUACCUUCCACCACUUAAAUUUCCAUUUUUAAAGGCAAGGAUGUUUUCAUCAUUUGUCUUCACACAAUACAUGUGCUUACCAAAUUAGCAGAGAUAUCCAUGAACUAAAGAAGAUAUUUAUAAAUUCUAUUUAGGUCUCCAUGCUUUGGAACUUUGCAUAGAAGUUCAGAUAUAAAAGCAGACACCAUGACAAAAAGUGACUGAUACCUAACCCUAAGUCAGCACCUCUGAACUAUAUCCCUCCUCUGCCUUUUAUUUCAAUUCCCCAGUUUGUUCAGUAUAUAGGGGGAGUGGGAAAAAAAAGUGCAAUAAUAAUUUCCACUAACUAGUAGGUUGCCUGAAAGCUUAAUCCAUCAUUCACUUGAAAAAUUUCAGAUAAGAAGUGCUUCAUUAAAUCUGAAGAGCAAUUCCUCUAAGCAUGUUUCUUGCAUUUUGUCCCAUCUUUACCCACUCUAUAACCUUCAUGCAAAAUUACAUUAAUUUUAGGUAUACAAUCCUUUGUGCUGAGCCUACUAUUGAGAUAUUGUCAGUCAGGAUAAAAAAAAAAUAAAAAAACCCCCAAAUAUGGCUUGUGAUUUACAAGAAGCCUUAAACAACACUUGCUGAUUAAAAAAAAAAAAAAAGAAGAAAAAAGGCUGGUAUAAGAAGAGCUUUUGGUGUAGCUUUUUUGUUUAAUUGGUUUGUAGUUUUAUGGCAGGUUUCUAUUGUUUGGGUUAGAUUUUUGAGGAUUUCUUAAGGACUUUUUCAACAGGAAAUUAUUUCAAUGAAAAACAUUAUGUUCUGCACACUAUGUAGCUAAACACCUAUGCACCAGAUGACAUCCAAAGCGCAUCGUGCUGACUUCCUCAGAGCACACAAGGAUAUUUUUUGCUGUAUUUCAAAGGCCAGUCUUCCUUGUUUAACUAGAUGUUCAUGUGUGCAAAAAACCAAGCACACAAAAACCCGGAUUCGAAUUGCUGUUAUUCUGAGACAUAUAAAAGUCUUCCCCUCUUGAAUUUGUUGUCACAUUAUCUAGAAAAUUGUAAUAAGUUUUUUAAUUAAAAACAAAAAAAUUAAAUGUGAUACAAUAGAGCAUCUGCUCACAUUAUAGAAAUUAUAUAUUUAUAAAAUGAUUGUUUAUACAGUAGUGCAAUUGGAUAGAAAAUUAUUGAAAUUUUACACUCAACGGUACAUUUCAUUUGCUAUUUUACCCUGCAAGUGACUACAAACUUCAAUAAAACAUGAUGGAUAUUUGCGUUUCAGAACUCAGUAAAAUUUCUUUAAGGCUGUAACAAUUCUUAAAAAGAAAAUAACUGCGAAAAAUAAGACAUUAUUCAAUACUGACUCAACUAAAGCCUGUACCAAAUUAUAUUUAAAGAAUCCUGAAAGUUUAGGCUGAGAGUUUUUGAAAGCACCACCUAAAAAACAUUACAUUUUUCCACGUUUUUAUUUUCAGGAUUUUCCUCCUGUUACUUGAAGGGCAAAGGGGAUGGGAGUGGGGCAGCGGAGAAACUGUGACACCACAGAUGACAGUCCAAAGCAGACCUGCUGUUUCUUGGGGGUUGUCUUCUGCAGGAUAUUGCACAUUUUCUUCCUGCAGCUGCGCCAGGGUCUGCCCUGUUUGUUCACAACAAGCUUGGGUGUCACACAGAAUUAUCCUGAGGGUUGCACAGUUCUACACUUUUCUGUUGUAAAGACAUUAUAUAGUUUUACGAGAAAAUUGAAUUACUGAACAUGUUCAGAUAAACCCCAGAACAGAGGCUGCUGUUCUCAAGCACAAUGGCUUGAUCUAGAUAAAUCCCAAAAUAGUCCUUUGUUUGGGGUAAUAGAUCAGAAAAAAAGAUGACAGGAAAGUACAGAAACCAAGAGUGAAGUACAAUUUCCUAUAAGUACCAAUCAAGUAAAAGGCUUUGUUAAACUCAGUAUUGAAUAUGUCCUAUUCAAUGAUCUCAUGGUUCAUUAGGGGAAAGCAUCAACAGGUAGAUAAGCCACAGGAUCAGUGUAAAUUAGGCUGAUCCUGUGACUAAAAUAGCAGUAAAAUAGGUUUUAGCUAUACAGUUAGGAUUUCUGAAUACUGAAAUGAGCCACAACUCCACCGAGCAUUUGACCAAAUGGACACCGGACUAAUUUUAAUUUAGGGGAAAACCUCCUGGAAAGAUAAAAGCACAUUGCAUAAAACUAGUGCUGCUGUUAGACCAUCUAGUCAGAAUGCUUUAACUAAAAAUUAACAGGAGUAAGAAGAGAAAUAUCUGUAUGGUACAAACCCUUCCUCACUAGAACACUAGUACUGCAUUCUUGUAGAUGCUUACCAGGUAACAAGCAACAGAUAACUUAUAUUUAAUAGAUUUUCUACCAAGUUGUGGAAAAUAUCGUGGAGCCAAGGAUCAUUGUGAUUGUCAUGGCAACACUGGGUGAUACUGUCAUCUCAUUGCCAGCACAAGUUGCAUCAAUAAAUAGUGGUUACUGUCAGACAACCUAUACACUGACACUUGCUGUUCAUAGUACUUUUAUUUCCACAUGCAAAGAGCAAAAAAAGUUAUGGUCUAUAUUUGGUGGUAGUUUGAUAACACUGAGGGAAACAUAUGAAAUUCAAUUAGCAGUUAGACAAGUAUCUGUCAUAGAUAAUAACUUCUUAUGUCAAGGAAUCUACAUACUGAUCAAUGUGAAGCUAUGUGCAAUUGCUUAUACCAAUCAUAAAUCACUCUUUAUUGAUUGACAUUACAAAUCCUUGACAUAAUUAGAAGCUAUAGAAUGGGUCACAAGAUAAUGCUGUGUAUGUCCACAAGCCCUUUAUUUUCAGGUUUUUUUGUAAUCUAUUGCACUCAGAUUUUGCUGGAAAUGGAGGAACCCUUCUUUUUUUUUCUUUUUUUAAAUUUCUUAUUAUUAGAAAAUUAGGCAGGAACUGCCAUCUGAUAAAGCCCUGAUAAAUGCCAGAAGUUAAAAAGGGAAUUUCCCAUGUCUGGAUUUGAUUCCUGUGUGCAAAUGGAGACUUGCCUACAUCCUGCACAUAAUAUGAUUUAUACACCAAUUUAUUUUAUACAUUAGGCACACUGUAUGCAGUCUGACUGAUGCAUAAAAAUUUCAUUUAAAAAAAAUACUUACUUGCACACAACUACUUUUCAGUUAUUAUUACCUCUUCUGGUUACCAUCACAGAGUAGGUAGGACAAAUGACUUGAUGCAGUGCACACAUUUUGUCCACUAUACAAACAUUUUGAUUGGUACCUAUUUCACUUCACUUUCACCAGACUCUUGAAUAGCUUAACAGCUCUAUCUUUAAAGAGAUCAGAUCUCACAUUUUCUGUGAAUUCCUCUAUGGUGACAACCCCUUACCAUGUACCCACACAAAUUCACCUCACAAGACAUGGGGUUUAUUCUGUGGGGUACCUCAAAUAAAUGAGCCAGAUGCAGAAAGGGAGGACAAUUUUGCUAUAUUUUGGAUUAUCUUCAUACAUGUAUGUUUCCUAUGCUAUUAUCAAUCAAAUUGAAGGUAUGUUUUUGCACAGCUUUUAUUUAGGAAAAAUCAGCAAGAAAUGCAUCUUUCUAUAUUUUCCAUUUAUUAGAAGUCUCCUUUCAUCCAAGAAAUAUGAGACCUGAAAUAAAUUGUACCAUCCUGCUUUUUUUUUAUUCAAAUCCUUGCCAGUGCUAGGCAGUAUGCUAAUGAAAACAGGUUGAUAAAUGACUCCCUGAUAUUUUCCAGACAUUUUUCUCUCAGAAGUGCUCUAAACUGAUGUAGCUCAAAGAGAAUAAGGCGCAUUAAGUCAUUAUAUCAAUUUUUGUUACCCAGAUACUUCAGUCCCAGUUAAGAGCUGACAGCCAAUAUAAAACAAGGCAAGGGCAUCAUACGACUCCAUCGAUCAAACCUUGUCGUAGAUAGAUUGCCUAUUACACAAAUAGAACC